GCUGUGUAGCUCAGCGGGUUAGGGUGUGUUUGUUAAACACUAGUCUUAGGUUCGAGUCUUGGGUGUGGCG
This 70-nucleotide transfer RNA is filed under the name Helianthus annuus (common sunflower). RNAcentral describes it as "tRNA HanXRQr2_Chr17g0824161". Lineage: Eukaryota; Viridiplantae; Streptophyta; Magnoliopsida; Asterales; Asteraceae. The record is from RNAcentral.